Molecule: ribosomal RNA, 254 nt
Filed under: uncultured bacterium
Lineage: Bacteria
Description: partial 16S ribosomal RNA
Rfam family: Bacterial small subunit ribosomal RNA
Source: RNAcentral
UACGGGGGGAGCAAGCGUUGUUCGGAUUUACUGGGCGUAAAGGGCGCGUAGGCGGCCAGCACAAGUCAGUUGUGAAAUCUCCGAGCUUAACUCGGAACGGUCAAGUGAUACUGUCGGACUAGAGUACAGAAGGGGCAACUGGAAUUCUCGGUGUAGCGGUGAAAUGCGUAGAUAUCGAGAGGAACACCUGCGGCGAAGGCGGGUUGCUGGGCUGAUACUGACGCUGAGGCGCGAAAGCCAGGGGAGCGAACGGG